AGGCAUCUGGGGGCAUCUAAAAAUCCUUCCCCAAAGAGGUAGUAUACUGGCAAAGUUAAUUUAUUUUUUGAUGAAGAUAUUCAAGGAGUUCAAACUUCUCAUAAUGAUGCUGUUGUCGUCUUUAUGAUAAUAAUAAAAUAUGACACAAAAAUUAUAUUAGUGGAUAAUGGAAGCUAUACCGACGUAUUGUUCUACGAUGCAUUCUAAAAAAUGAAUAUGUUACAUCAGUUAAAGCAGGUUGGCACUCUGCUGGUCAGAUACUUUAAAGAUCUUGUAGC
This 278-nucleotide long non-coding RNA is filed under the name Elaeis guineensis (African oil palm). RNAcentral describes it as "long non-coding RNA (EGUI_LNC007497)". The record is from RNAcentral. Lineage: Eukaryota; Viridiplantae; Streptophyta; Magnoliopsida; Arecales; Arecaceae.